ACUUGUCUCUAGUAAUUAUACAGAAUACCCUCCUCACCUCCGAUAUCGAUGAAAUAAUAUUGAAUCGACGCGUUUUUGCAAGAGAAACAACUUUUCUAUUUGAAAAAAUCGUCGCUCUGCCUUGUGGAGCAAGAUAUAAAUUGUUAAAGUUGAGGACAAUUUAGGUUAGGAAAUCUGUCACGGAGGCAACAGUGGUACAAGAUUUGAAGCAUGUUUUUAUUCAUCGCCGGAUUCAGAGACUAAUCAUAAUGAAAUUUCACUUAACAAAGAAAGUGAGAAACAGACAAAAACGCAAUUAGAGCCUUACUCUUUCAAAUUCGAAGGUCAGGUAAUUUUAGAUGCAAACAAUGUCAUAAUGAAAUUAUGCUGAAUAGCACAGUACUUCUGGAGCUAAGCAAAAAGUUGGAUUCAGUGUUGAUUAAUCAGGCAAUCAUUAUGCGGUCUGUCAACCCAGAUCAUGCCAAGUCUGAUAUCUUCUAAUAUUCCAAAUAUUCCUCUAAAAACAAAAGAAGACUUUCAAAAGAUGGACAUAUUUUUGACAGCUAAUCGUAUUAAUUUUGAAGCUGUGCGAGAUCUAGUUCAUUCUAAAUGUGCCAGUGCUUUAAGCACAUUAUCUGUUCCUUCAGAGCACAGUAUCACAGGAAAUGUUUUGUUGAAGUUCUCAAAUAGUCUUGCCAAACUGAUAAGUUAGAGUGGGUCAGAAGGCAAUAAGAUAAAGUUCUCAGAGACAAAACAAUGUGAAAUUGUAUUUAGUGCAGUAAAUUACGAUUUCCUCAUAGCUUUCUUACUGACGCUGAAGCCAAAAUCAAGCGUUGGUUCCAAACUGCGAAUGGUAGAAGAGUUAAUGAAUCUCAUGACUCUGAUACUUAACGCAAUUCACUCACAUAUAUUAUAGUUUUUCAUUACUGAUAUUAUGAUUACAGGAUUAUUAUUGAUGUUAAUUUUUUGUUUGUAUUCUUUUAGGAUGCGUUCCUUUGUUCGCAUGAAACGCAUGCUACAUACUACUGUGAUCAAAAAAUAAGGUGAAUUUGUUUAUAAAAUGAAAAA
This 1047-nucleotide long non-coding RNA is filed under the name Harpegnathos saltator (Jerdon's jumping ant). RNAcentral's name for it is "uncharacterized LOC109504442, transcript variant X1". The record is from RNAcentral. Lineage: Eukaryota; Metazoa; Arthropoda; Insecta; Hymenoptera; Formicidae.